AUAGAUAGAUAGAAAGAUAAAUAGAUAGAUAGAUAGAUAGAUAGAUAGAUAGAUAGAUAGCUAGAUAGAUAUCUGGAUUUGGAUAAAUAGAUAGAUAGAUAGAUAGAUAGAUAGCAGAGGGGGAUAUUGUAGUUUUAAAAUUAUUUUUUAGAAAUAUAAUCAUAAAAUGUAUAAAUGUUAAUAGUUUUUCGUUCAAUUAGAAAUAUAAAUUUUUUCCAUCAAUGUCAUUUUUAAAGCAUAUUUUUACAUGAUUCUUACAAAUUCUUGGAGACAUAGAAAUGCAAUUUUCCUUUUUAUUUUGUUUGCAUUCUGUGACAAGGGAGAAGGCACAUCCAAAUAAUUAGUUGUUUUUUUGUUCUGGGUACAGGAUCAUUUAUAGUGGUGUAAAUGGUUUGGUGGAAUUUAGAUGUUUUUAUACAGUUCCAAAAAUUGUCCUUGACAGAUUGAUUUCAGAUAUGAAAUAGUGGGCUCUAUCCAGUGUUGUUUGCUUUGUGCAUGUUAUAAACACUUGCUUGUAAGCAGUGAGAUACACACAGAGUCAGUUUGCAUAACAUUUUACAAGAAUACAUGUACAUAAAACCGAAUAUAUUGCUGCAUAUCUUUUCAAAAGUGCAUUUUAGGUUUUGCAUUACAACUCACAACCCACAGAGCCCUCAGCAGGUAGCAGCACCAACCCCUCUUCAUUCUUCACCUAGGGAUGGUUAAUGGGGCCCAGAAAAUUCAUUGUUCUAACCUUGUCUAACAUCUGGGCUCUAGGCAGCUGCCUAGGGUCACUUUAUGGUCAGUUCUGCUCUGCAAACACACCUUGUUUGAGAUGCCAGUGAGUAUUUGGCUUCUCACCCAUAUAAUUUAGUAUCUGAGUGAGAUGUAUCUGAUACAGGUCAGUAAAUGCUCUGGUGUGUCAUUGUUUCUGAAACAUUAGGAUCACAUGUAUGCAAUGGUAGCAACUCAUAUGCCCUUCAUGCAAUUAUUAUUAUUAGUAUUAGUAUUAUUAUUUUGAUUUAUGUAGCAUCUACAUAAUCUAGGCAACUUUAUAAUUUUACAAUUGAGAUUUUAUCUCUUUUGCUGUACGUGAGCCCAUAUAGCUCACAUUGUACAAGGUUUAUAGUCCAAGGAUGUCAGAGGAUUAAUGGAAAGAUCUGUGCACUGUGCAAGCAUAUUUGGAGCUUACAAUAAUAAACCAUAAUGCCCAAUGCCUGUCUUUAUCCAGGCAACUAUAACUACUGGAUGUGGUCGGAAAUAAUUUUAACAUUCUGGUGGUAUCCUUGGAAAGCUUUAGUCCCAAAAACUCAAUGAAUUUCAUUAGUAUAUUGUUUGUUUUUAUGUAUUUUGUUGCAUUGAUAGACAGCAUCUAAAAAAAUGGUAUUUGUCUUAAUAGGUCAAUAUUUCAUUACUUGUCUGAGGUAUUGCUAGGUAAGGAAUACUAUAUAAUCUCUUAAAAUUCUACUCUCUGCUAUAUUUAUGCAAAGAAUAAAUAAAAAAAUGAAAAAUGAAAGUGUAGAGAUCACUAGUAUGAUAUGUUGAACAUCAUCGCUUAUAAAUGUCUUGUAUGUUAUCUCUUCAAUAUUUGUGUAAAAUAAAAUAAGAGAAAAAUAAAAAUUGUGUUCAUGUAACCUGGGACAAAAAGGACGUAGAAUCGAAGGAGUUUUUGAAGUAUAUACGAAUUAAGAGACAGUGGUUCUCAUGCUUUCUCUCCCCAGAUCUGCCAAGCAUUUUAAUAUUAAAAACUAGUUAAAACUGCAUUCUAUAUGAUCUCCCAAGUUAUGCUACCAACAUGUUACAUUAAAUUCAGUACAUGUUGUUGCUUUUAGGUUACAUAUUAAAUUCACAUGUUCUCUUCUUGCAGCCAUGUGUACGAAUGUCUUGUGAUGGUAAACACAAAUGUUGAUCUCACCCUGUAUUUUAUAUAUGUGUUCAGCUAUUAGAUAUGUUUUAUUGCAAACAUUUCGGCACUGCUCUAUUUUUAUAAUAUAAGAUUAUUGGAUCUAUGUUACUGUAUAUAAGUCAACAAUCUGUUAUAUAUACAACACAAAAUAAAAUACACACAUAAACUUUUA
Molecule: non-coding RNA, 2057 nt
Organism: Pelobates cultripes (western spadefoot toad)
Lineage: Eukaryota; Metazoa; Chordata; Amphibia; Anura; Pelobatidae
Source: the annotation of a GenBank genome assembly